Molecule: long non-coding RNA, 10948 nt
Filed under: Chlamydomonas reinhardtii
Lineage: Eukaryota; Viridiplantae; Chlorophyta; Chlorophyceae; Chlamydomonadales; Chlamydomonadaceae
Description: long non-coding RNA (CREI_LNC000630)
Source: RNAcentral
GUGGGGGUCAUUCGAGGUUCCCUCCUCGAGUGUGCGUACGUGUCUCGUGCGUUUAUGGAGCCCUGGCUUGCCCGUGGCUGUCAUCCCACAUGUAACCUCUAUUCGCUUUGUACGCGGGUGGUCUUGCGCCACGAUGCCGGAGUUGGGUGCCGGAGUCACAUCAAGGUCGCAAGAUCGAAACCCAUCAGGAACGGUUCGGCUCCGUUACCUGUGUAGGCACUGAACAUACUUGUGCCGAACUUCCCCGAAAGAGUGCCAUCUCGGCCUUCCUAGGUCGCUGCUCUACGGGUGAGGACGCUGGUGCGGCGGGUUCUGAUGGUUUCCCCGCGAGAGCUAUCCUGCUUUCUAGAAGCCGGUCUGCGAGCCAGUUGGCGCUGAUGCGCCGGGGCAGGAGGAGGCCCCUGAUUAGGGAAUGCGCGUCACCCAGCGCCGAUCUGCGAGCCCGUGUUUCGAGGCGUUACCGUGGCCCAGUAUGGCCGAUGGUUGCAGACAACCCCCCUCCCCCAAAUUCGCUAAAUAAGUUAGCUCGUUCUACUCCGCUUGGUUGCAUUAGGGCGCCUCGGCGCCCUGACCCUCCUUGUCGGUAGUAGUUCCUGGCCGGCCUUUGUGGCCGCGCCCAUCCCCUGUGGCGCCUCCAUGGCGUCCCUGGCGUUGCUUAGGUCAGCUGUAGUGCGUCAGUGCUGCUCUGGCUGCGGCGCGCCACUCAGUCGGCGACAUCAUCGUCGCCGUCCUGCUGAGCGGCCCCCGCUCUGGCACUCUUUGCCGAACAUCAUGACUUCACACCGUGGAGCCUUCGCGACCUAGCGUGGGUGGCGCGCCUGCUCGCCGGUCGACCUCGUCCUCAUGGCUUCGCGCUGCUGCCGGGCUCGCAGUGGCGUGUCGCUGAGCGGCUCUUUCGGUAACGGAGGGCCGAUUGGGGCUGCUGGCGACUCUUGCUGUGGGCUGCUGCCGCGGCCUGACGUGGCGCCGGGCUCGCCGCGCGUGAACAGGGGCACGCUGCGGCGGGAGCCAGGACCGGCGUCUUCCGGGCGGCGGCGGCUGGAGCUGUGGGCGCAUCUACACAGUGGAGAGACCUGCUUGGCGAAUGCAGUCUGGCGAAGGCAGUCCAGCGAAGGCUGGCUGGCGCUGUCUGCUGUGCUAGGGUGUUGCGAGGCUGUGUGGACUUGGUUGGGCGGUGGGCGUGCCUGCACCGCCUACGCUAGGUUGCGGGCGCUGUGGCUUGUGCUGUCUGGUGGGUCGGACCGGCUGAUCCUCGUGGUUCAGCGAACUUGCACGGCCCUAGGCCGUCUACAGGAUGCAGCUUCGGGCUGCACCCAACAGUGUGAGGGCCCUGCCCUGUUGGUGCUGGUGUUUUGGGGUAGGAGUUGCACUUUGCAAAGUGGCAGUCAGUCUGACGCCGACCCGCGGCUUAGGUGAGCAGCGCUAGCGUUUGCGGUGAGCCUUGCUCGGGGUUCCUCCCCUCCUUUAGUGAGGCGAGGAGCAUGGGGGUCAUUCGAGGUUCCCUCCUCGAGUGUGCGUACGUGUCUCGUGCGUUUAUGGAGCCCUGGCUUGCCCGUGGCUGUCAUCCCACAUGUAACCUCUAUUCGCUAAAUAUCACGUCCGAAGACGAUGGCUGGCGUCAGAGACGCGCAAUGUCUUGGCCCGAAGGCCCAUGUCUGAUAGUCUGUGCCGAGGCACAACUGGAACCGGAAGCCAAGCCGAAACACCACCAAGCCACAGCACACCACAGCCCCUCUCAAAGGGCGCACCACCCGCCAACCGUCCAACCAACGACCCAGGCCGACCCUCCACACAAGCCCCAGCGGCACUCGGAGACGAGAAGAGCCAACAGUCGCCCGGGCGCCCGGGCAACAGCCGCCCGUGCACACACACCCCAAACCCGGGACUACCCGACUGCGGUCACCACGCGCCUACCGGUCCGUGAACCGUAUGCUGCGAGCUAAAACCCCCAGGGCUAAAAUCUGCAGAGCCAGGAAGACCGCAGACAGAGACGACGGCUGACUGGGCGCCACGAGGCAAGACGCCGAGGCGCACACAGGCGAGGCACCGAUGCGCCAGCCGUUGCGCCGGGCCAAGGGCGACCACGAGGGCUACCCACUACCUGCAAACACAGAAACCACUGACAACACAACACCGAAGAACUCAUGCGACCAGCCGCCCGCGAGCCGCCAUGGAACUUCGAACCCAAAGCUCGGCGCUGAGCGCCUGUCUGAACCCCAACCCUGUCUGAACCAAUCUGAUCAAAGCGCCCGGAACAGGCGACAAAAAUUUGGAAACGAAAGCCAAGGUCGACAACUAAGAUGUUGUGCGCCCCCACGCGAGCCAAGGCUCGCGGGCUAGGGGAUGAGCCCUAGAGGCUAAGUUUAUAGUUUAUGUCAUAUGGUCUAAGUUAUGACCCCUCAAAGUGGCCGGUCGGUCGGUCGGUCGGGGGGUCCCAAGAGGUUUUGCACAGGUUCGUGCCAAGUUUUGUUCCUAGCGCUUCUGUCCUGCAGCGCGCGGCACAAUGGGUGCAGCUCAACGAGGCGUGCGUAGGUAUACCCCAGACUUAGCACACAUGCAUAGUAUGGGGUACUUUGGGGAGCGGCAUGUCAGCAUUUUGGAAGAUGCCUGGGGAACGGGCCAGGGACAGGCCGGUGCCGGGCGGGUUUUGCAUGGAUGAACGCGUCAGCUCAUUUCGUACUAUCAAGUAACAUUGGAGUAAGCCGUUGCAUAGCAGGCCAGUCUGUCAGGACACUUGUCGGCGGACGGGUGACAUGUCCACAUGUCCACAUGUCGGUCGGUCAAAGUGUGUUCCCAAGGCGGAUCAUUUUGCAUAGCGAUAGAUGUCACCGAGAGCAGUCAAUUGGCACCAACCUGACAAAAAACUAAGGGGUUCUGAGGGGGUUUUGGGGGGUCGUACGGUAGGGGGGGUCGGUCGGUCGGUCGGUCGGGGGGUCCCAUGGGGUCAAAAAAGUUUGUUCCUACCCCCCCCCUGGAGGUUCUAUAGGUAGGGGUAUCGGGUAUCGGGGAGGUGUUAAGUGUGAUAGAGGUUUAAAGAGACAGUGGCAAACGGGAAGGCACGAAUCUUGGCACGAACGGCUCAGCUGGGAUGUGAACGUGCGCAUUGUGGCCAUGCUAGCCCUAACCAAGUCUUCAACCAAAACUUGAGCCACCCCCCCCCCACACACACACACACAAACCAUGCAUCUGCAGUUGCGCAAGCAAACCUUGGCCUUGGACCGCGUGCCGAAGAACACCUGUCUUGUGAGUGCGGAUGUUACAGAGGGGACAGUCCCAGUACCCGAAGACGCCGAGCCAUCACAUGCUAUCAGGGCCCAAGUUGACUCCACCAACCCCGACUUUGCUGCAAACCCUCCCGCGGUCAAAGUCCGUGUGACUCCGCGCACAGUGAGUCCUAGCCAAGCCUCAACCCGCCAGAGCCCCACCGCUGUGCCUCAAUGCCACAAGCCUAGGCACCGGAGUGCCGGGAAUCGUCCAGGCCGCAGCACACACGCACAGCGCACGCACUAACCAGGGCGCAAGCGUCCAGGCACUAGAACGGUCGCCCACACGCGCGUCCUGCCCACACACUAAUCCCCCAACCACCCACAACCUCUCACGGUGAGGGAGGCGGGGAAUCAGCGUCAUACGGCAAGCGCAAUACCAGGCCUUCACCAACAGCCCGAGAGAUGAAAGGAUGCGCAGACGGCACAGCGUCCCAACCCUUUGGCCUGAUACCCAAAGUCACAAACGUCUGGAGACGACCCCAGAAGUCAGCUACGACGCCAAGUCCAAUGCUCAGCACCCGGGCCGACGGCAGCUUCGCUCGCGCAGUCGCGCCGCCAGCCCGGCCAUAACCACACGCUGCCGACCAAAGUCCAGGGCAGACAUAGCAGCGAGACACACCACAUCCCACACAGGUGGCGCAAGCCCCGCAGGCGGGCGCACUAACCACAACUCCUCACGAGAGAAGGCACUUAGAGCAUCCUCUGGCAUGGAAACCCAUAGCCAUCCCCAUGUUUUCCCGCAGGGACAGCGCAACAGUGCAGUCCCAAAACCAGUGACGCCGGUCCCCAUCCUGCGUGUCAAACCCACACGCCCAACACGGGUCAACAGCAACGCCUCGCGCCCGCUCGCUAGGCGCUAGCAUGCCGUGGAAACGCCCAGCAAGCGUUGGCGGCCACACGCCACAGUGCUUCCUUAUGAUGAUUCUCCCAUUUCAGCGACCACAAGCGGGCCAAGGUGCACACGAAGGCCCCCGCCGCCAGGGCAGCCCCCACCCCCGACACACCCGCGUCGCACACAUAUUGCAAAUGCUUAGCCUUCAGGGCGGCUAACUGUGGAGCCAUUUGUAGCACGGUCCCCGCCUUCACCGUGUAGGCAGUGAGCAGGAUGGGCGGCCCACACGGGUAUGACGCCGGUCUGAAGAGGGGCAAAAACGUGUCCACACGUGUUUCUCCACGCUCGCGUAGACUUAGCCUCCCUCUUUCAGGAAUUAACUUAUAUGACAUAUAAGGAUGCAAAAGUUUGACUCCCGUCGCAUUCUGCGAGGGUGGCUGUCACCACAUUUCGCGAGGCAUGCUUUCGCCAGGGUCGCACUCUUAAGCCCGGGAGCAUGUUUCUAGUCUCCUUGCAUGUAUUUUUGAUGACGGCAACAAUAAUUGGCAUCAAAGCGCGGUAAUUGCGCAGACUUGAGAAGCCUGUUCACCGCGACGUCACCGAAUAGGCCGCAAACAAAAUAUUUGAGAUCUCUAUAGUAUCAAGGUGAUAUUUGUAGAACGCUGGUAGCUAAUUCGGAGGUCGGCCUGACGACCGUCGCCGACCGUGCCAAGCUGGGCGGAACGCAUCCCCCGGACGCCACGCGAGCUAGACCAGUCUAGGCCGUGUCGUCCGCCCGGGACCACGUUCGCCGUGCCUUAAAUGGGGACCGGACGACAAGGCCAAGGCAGGUAACCAGGCUGUGCCGUUUGACCCCUCUCCCAGACCGGCGUCAUACCCGUGUGUGGGCGGCCCCCCGCACUGCAACCAGCCAAGCCCCCGCACCACCUGUUGCACCGACUCCGCCGUAGCACUCACGAUGUCGGCCGCCGGGAGCGGCAGCGCGCGCGGCGGCAAGCCCCCGACGAGCCAGCUGGGCGGCACGCGCGGCGGCAGCCCAGCCAGCGGGGAGAAGGGCCACCGCCGCCGCAAACCGGUCGGCCGCCUCUUGAGGCGAUGCCGGCCCCGGCAGGGGCGACGGCAGGCGCGCCCGCGCGUGCUCCAGUGCAGCACCCGCCGCCACACAGCAGUCACAUACAUUUCCACGCUUCACCAAACCGGGAGCCCCACGCCCAAGGGCGUGUGCAUGCCUGCCGCAGUUCGUUCAGGCCGUCAUGCACUGCAACCAGCUGGCCCACACACGCCAGUCCCGGCAGAGCGAACAAAUCCGCGAAAGCCACUUCCCACGUGCGGCCGUCCUCACACAGUGCCGGGUUAGCCCACAACAGCACAUGACUCACCCACGCGCCCGGCUCGGGCGGCGCCACAAGAGUCACCGCGGGCAAUUCAGUCAUGACUUUCAGCAGGCGUGCAAACGGCUUGCCCGCCGGGGUGAGCGGCUUAUUUAGCACACGGUCCGCGGCCCCCCGCACCAACAAGCGCAGGGGCGUUGCCGCCGGGUGCACCUGGCGCAGCCACGCCGCUGCGACCCGGGUCCACGGGGGCACGUACGGCAGCAGACCACACACACCCAACACACACCGGACCGCGAGGCCGGCUUGCCGCGCUUUCACAUGCGGCACCAGCGGUAACAGGCCCGCCCCCCCCCACCGCCGGAGGCAUGCAGUUGCUGCAUAAGUUCAAUGGAGAGGCCAGGCGGGCGUGCCUGGGGGUUGGCAUCAAACUGUCUUGUGGACCAGGACAAAACGCGCAACCACCGUCCGCAAUAUAAGAAAAGGUAAUAGUCACGAUGGGCGCGGAGCCGUCGGGUCCAGAGCAUCGUGACUAUUCCCUUUUCCUGUAUUGCGGAAGCUGGUUCCGCGCAGUAACCAGGCACACGGCCGACUCGGCGUUCGCUCGCCGGUACGUUCUGUUGAAGUUGUUGGUGUUGUUGGUUACAGGUGGUUUCCACGAGCAUGCGUGCUAUCCUGUCCCUGUAAGUGCCAGGUGGGCCCUUACAACACCGGUACAAGACAACAUGGCGCAAUGCCUGCAGGUUUCACGCAAGCGGUUCGUCCAGGCCAAGUCGUUCGUUCAAUGUCUGUUACCCUUUUAGGGAGGGGUAUCGGGCAUCGGGGAGGUGUUAAGUGUGAUAGAGGUUUAAAGAGACAGUGGGGGACGGGAAGGCACGAAUCUUGGCACGAAUGGCUCAGCUGGGAUGUGAACGUGCACACCGUGGCCAUGCUAGCCCUAACCAAGUCUUCAACCAAAACUUGAGCCCCCCCCCCACACACACACACAAACCAUGCAUCUGCAGCUGCGCAAGUAAGCCUUGGCCUUGGACCGCAUGCCGGAGGACGCCUGUCUUGUGGACCAAGACGAUGCGCGCAACCACCUUCCGCACUAUAGGAAAAGGUAAGAGUCACGAUGGGCGCGGGGCCGUCGGGUCCAGAGCUUCGCGACAAUUACCUUGUCCUGUAAUGUGGAAGGUGGUCCCGCGCAGUGACCAGGCACACGGCCGACACAGCGCUCGCUCGCCGGUACGUGCGUGACAUGACGCAAUGUCUGCAGGUAGGGUGAUAGCGCCACGAGCGCUGCAAACGCACAGGUCAGCUGUCCAUUUUCUCUGUUCACCUCGCGUCAAUCAGGACUUGCGCUUACAGCUUGUUGAGCGACCGCACAUGCGUUCUGACAUGCGUUAUGCGUUACCACGCUGAACUGCCAUGGAACCCUUGCGGCCUGUCCCUGCCUGCAAUGUCGCGUUCUUACCCUUACUAUGCAGGUCUGAGGGCGGAUCCGCGCCCUCGAGAAGCAGACUGGCGCUGUGCAUCGUGCCAAGGAGGAGCUGCGUCGUGACAUAAGGCGCAGGUUCUGAGCUGUGUGCGUCGGCACAAACAGACAACAUGUGAAUUGAGGGCCUGUGUAAUCAUGUCGCGAUAACGGAGCAGGGUGGUGGUGCGGCGCCAUGAUUACCUUUCAAAAACCCGCUGCCGCCGCACAUCAUCCCCAAGUUGUUUGCACGGUCACGCCGUGUCAGCAAUACUGUAUCUCAAUCUUCCCUUCGUGCCGUGCAUCCAUCUUGAAACAGAAACUCCACAGAAACACACAGCUUGACCAUCAACCAUUACCAUUGCGCACGCCAUGGCUGGUACUGAGCGUUGUGAGCAACCGGCUCUGCCGAGCGGGCCGCCCGGUUCGCCCGGCACCUCCGAAGUAGCCUUAUCUCGACCGAUAAUGCGCCGGAAGCCCAGCAUCUCUGCAGUACCGGCUCCAUGGCUCCAUGGCAAAGCCCCACGCCAACCCCCGGCGGCCUCACCCACGCUCGCGCUCACUCACCCACGGAGCACAGCAAGGAAACGAAAUUCUGCAUUACUGGCGGCUUUGGACAUGCUUUGUGCGCUGCUCUGAGUAUCGAAUACGCGCUCGCGUUCAGCUACUGGCCCUCGUGGGACGUUUGGCAACUUCCCGCCCGCGCCACGGCUUGUUUGCUUGUGUUGCGUUUCUUCACGCACGUCGAUAAUAUGAUGAGUCGUAACGGUCGCAGUGCCCACCUGCACCAUCAGGCCGAGCCCGCACGACGGUGGUGCAUACUCCAUGAGUUCAUGUAGUAGCCUCUCGGAUUCCCUGUCCAGGAGGUCCCGUUCUAAGGAACAGUGAGCUGCAUCGCAGGUCCAAACAACUUGCGCCUUGGUCCCCAGACACUUCGACACCUGUUGCAGCACUUGCCACGCCGACUCGUUUCAACACCGAAUCCCCGUUAACACUGCUACUUUGAUGACUCGCAACUGCGAAGCUCUCCCGACCCCCCCCCACGCCACCACCCCUACUCCAUUACCGUAUCUGCACAUCGCAUACGCAACCUGGACCCCCGCAUCUACAACCCCGCCAGGUCGCUCCACACCAUCCUUGCUUACCCUAAGCACUGCCCUACACACUGCCUACGCACUGCCGCUGCCAGCCCUAUCGCCGCCAUGGCCACUGCCCUCGCCCGGCCCUCCUCCGCCUCCCCCGCCCUCUCCUCCCCUUCCUCCUCCUCCUCCGCCGCCGCCCUGGCUGCUGCCCCGGCCGCUGCCCUCGCGGCUGCCGGCCAUGCCCCCAUACAGCGACGGAAGCGACACAGCGCUGCUGCUAGCGCCGAACCCAACCGGCCCCAGCUCAUCCGCCAGCCGGCCGCUGCCGCCGCCCGCCAGCUCCGCAUGCGAGCCGUUCUCAGAAAUGGUCGUCAUCUGCCGUCCACCCAGCCCCCCGCCCGCGCCGCCGCUGCCUUCGCCGCGCAGCCCGCCGCCGCCGGAACCCGAGGUGCCGCCGUACACAUGCCACCCGGCACCGCCUGCGCCGCCGCCGCCGCCAUCAAUACCACCACUGCCGCCGCCGCUACCGAAGCCACUGCCGAUGCCACUCCAACCAUACCCGCGCUGCUGCGACCGCUGUUGCUGCUGCUGUUGCGGCUGUAGCUGCAGCUGCUCCAGUCCUUCGUACAGGCCCUCAACCGCUGGACCUAAGCCACGCCCCACGCUCAGCGCGCCCUCGCCGCCGCUGCCGCGCUGAGGCGCCGGCAGCGGAGGAAGAUUCGAGCCAGAGCCGCCCGAGCCGCCAACCACUGCUGUAGCAGCUGCAGCACCCGAGUCGCCGCUGCUGUCCCAUACCGCGCCGCCGCCGCCGCCGCCUCGUGUGCCGCCCGCUCCGCCGGCGCCGCCAGGCAGAGGGUCACUCCUGAACUCGUAGUCCUGCGCUAGGGGCAGACCCGCAGGCUGAAGGGUGAACGUCAGGGACGGAUCGCGGCUGAGGGCGGCGGACGUGGCGGCGGAGGAGGCAGUGGUGAAGGCGCUGUGGCGGCUGUAGCCGCCGGCGGCGCCGCCGCUGCCUGCGGCAGCGGCUGUGCGGGAAGGGUGGUGGUGGUGGUGGCUUGAGGACUGGUGCCCGUACUGCGGUGAGCUCAGGUGCGGGCGAGUGCCUGGAGACGGCAGGGCCUGGGAGUGGUGUGAAGAGGCGUGGUGGUGGUGGCCGCGGCUGUGGCUGUAGCCCUGACCCUGGCUCUGGCUGUGGUGGUAGUGGCGGCUGCUGCUGCUGCCCGGCAUGUGCCCGUGGGCCCCCAGAGAGGGCGCGUGGCUGACGUGGCCGGACACGUGGCCUGAGGGGGCGCCGGAGGCUGACACGUACCCAGGCGUUGACACGUGGCCAGAAGCGCGGGCUGAGGGGUGGUGGUUGUAGCCGUGGCCGUGGCUGUAGCCGUGGCUGUAGCGGUGUCCGGGGCUGUAGCUCUGGGUGUGCUGGUAGUGUCGGUCGUGGUGGUGGGUUUGGCUGUGGCUGUAGUGGGUGUGGUGGUUGUGGGCGGCAGUGGUGGUGGCGGUGGAGGGCUGGUGGUGCAGGACCGGCCUGCCGGUGGUGGCAGUAGCAGCGGCUGCGGCUGUAGCAGCGUGCGGCAGCGGCGUGUGCGGCUGCUGCUGCUGCUGCUGCUGGCUGUAGCCGUGGGCCAUGGAGGCCGGCUGGCUGUGGCGAUGGGAGGGAGCGUGGCUGCUGCGGUGGUGAGACGCGGAGGGCGCGUGUGAGAUGGAUGCCUGGUGGUGUGAGGGCGGCUGCGGGUGCGCGCGAUGGCCAACGCUGCUGCCGCCGUGGUGGCUGCUGCCACCGCCAUCGCGGCGCCGUCCACUAGUGCUGUGCAGCUGUUGCUGCUGCUGUUGCUGCUGCGGCAGCUGCCGGCGGGGUGAAGGCUCCUCUAACACCCCGCCGCCGCCGCCGCCGCGCCGCCGGCCGCCGCCUCUCCUGUCCCCGCUCCCAGUCACCAGCCCCACAGGCACCAGGUCUCCAAACCGCACCCCCAGUGGCAGUUCGUCCCCCUCCUCAGCUUCCGGCACCUCCUGCUCCUCCUUGGCUGGAUCCAGAUCCGCGUCGCGCCAGUGCUCUGGAUCCGGCUCGCCGUCUUCGCCCACCAGGUCCGGAUCCAGCUCGCGCUGCAGCUCACCGGAUCCGGAUCCAGACGCCUCGGCCACGUCAUCGUCCAUGGACAGCGCCGCCGCCAGCUCGCGGUGACUCACUAGACGGCUUGCCAGCAGGCGCACCUGCGUACGCAUGUGCACGUGUUUGUGCGUUAGAGAGCACUAGGGAAGAAACACGAACGUGUGUCUUUGUGUGCGUGUGUGUUAAAGAGCACAAGGAAAACGUUGCGCAAAGACAGUGUAUGCGAUGCAGCGUGUGUGUGUAUGUGUACGUGCGCGUCGUCUCAGCUACUACAGUUCCGGAGAGGCGGGAGUCACCGGCAGCAUGGGCAAGCGCGCCCACACCCAUAAACACACACGCGCACGCACCGUGGCUGACAACUUCUGGUCGAUCACGUCCAUCUUGCUCUCCAGCGCCUCCACUCGCAGCCGUGUCUCCUGCAGGCGCGGCGGACGGAUGAGUUGGUGCGAGGGAAGUGGGAAUUUGAAGGUGGGCAGGCAGAUGCAAAAGGCGGCCUCAGGACACUUCGCAUGGGGUCACAUUUCCUCACGCGUUCUGAAACACGCCCUCAGCCUUUCGCCGUUCGUCCCACCGCUGCAAAGCCGCAGCCCCCCACCCUCCCACCCCCGCCCCGCCCCCGCGGGGCGCCUGCUAUACUACUGCUCCUGCUACACUUCACUUCUAAAUUAGUGAUGAAUGUCACCCCACCCACCGCGCACAGACACCCAACCCCGCACUCCGCCCCCCAUGCAGCCCACCCAACUCCCCAUCACCCAGUCAUCUUCCCCCCGUACCUGCUGCGCGUUCAUGAGGCUGCUCUGCAGGCUGCUCAUGCCGCUCCACACGCUGUUGAGGUUGAUCUCGUACGUGGAGCGCGGGCUCACCUGUGGGGAAC